AUGCCACUAGGGAGCAGACUUUGCAGCGACUGCAAUAUGAUUAGUGGGCACAACAAAAGAACUUGCGUGAAAAGGCAGUUAGAGAAAAAGCUUCUGCAAGCACAUGAGAAAACGUAUGGGACUGUGGACAAAUCCAAGGUUGCUACAACUAUCAAGAAACUGUUGUCGAAAGCAACUAUGAAGGAGGAAGCUAUCAACGACAGCGAAAAUAUGAGUGACGACAGUAAUGAAAAAAGUGAUAGUGACGAAGACGCUGAGCCUUCACCAAAGAGGAUGUGCAUCAACAAAGAUGUUGGGCAAGGCAAGAUUUUUAAGAAAAGAUGCAAAAAGUGUAACAAGGUCGAAGGGCACAACACUCGUACGUGUGAUGUAGUCAGAAUAGGCAAUGAGAUUCUGGAAAUUACAGAGCAGAUGGUUCACCAGGGAUAG
This 429-nucleotide ribosomal RNA is filed under the name Triticum aestivum (bread wheat). RNAcentral's name for it is "partial small subunit ribosomal RNA". Lineage: Eukaryota; Viridiplantae; Streptophyta; Magnoliopsida; Poales; Poaceae. The record is from RNAcentral.